GUCUAAGGUAUCCUAGUGGACAUGGCAUCUGCCCGGUAAGCGGAACACUGUGGGUUCGAUUCCCAUCCCUGGACA
Molecule: transfer RNA, 75 nt
Filed under: Cordylochernes scorpioides
Lineage: Eukaryota; Metazoa; Arthropoda; Arachnida; Pseudoscorpiones; Chernetidae
Description: tRNA-Thr
Rfam family: tRNA
About the family: Transfer RNA (tRNA) molecules are approximately 80 nucleotides in length. Their secondary structure includes four short double-helical elements and three loops (D, anti-codon, and T loops). Further hydrogen bonds mediate the characteristic L-shaped molecular structure. tRNAs have two regions of fundamental functional importance: the anti-codon, which is responsible for specific mRNA codon recognition, and the 3' end, to which the tRNAs corresponding amino acid is attached (by aminoacyl-tRNA synthetases). tRNAs cope with the degeneracy of the genetic code in two manners: having more than one tRNA (with a specific anti-codon) for a particular amino acid; and 'wobble' base-pairing, i.e. permitting non-standard base-pairing at the 3rd anti-codon position.
Source: RNAcentral